CCUGUCCUAUACUACCGUAAAAGAUAUAUUUUUUCUUUGGGCCUUAGGCCCAAUUUUUCACCUGUCCUAGGCUUCUAACAAAAUAUAGAAUAGAGACUAAAUGGGCUUAGGCCCAAUAGAUAACAAAAUACAAUUUUGGAAUUAAAGGUGGGCCUUUGGCCCAAUUUUUUCAAUUCUCUAAUCUGCUCCAAUAUUUUUUCGACUCCGGGACCUGUACGUCGACUUUCAAUGGCCGGUUGACUCGAUGAAGG
This 251-nucleotide long non-coding RNA is filed under the name Solanum tuberosum (potato). Its description in RNAcentral is "long non-coding RNA (STUB_LNC008242)". The record is from RNAcentral. Lineage: Eukaryota; Viridiplantae; Streptophyta; Magnoliopsida; Solanales; Solanaceae.